CUGGAUAAUGCACUGCACAGAAAGGUACAUCGAGGUCACUGGGAAUGACCUGAAGGAUAUUUUCUGCAGGCAACAGGCGAUGAGUUAUGAUCUCUUUGACAUAGCCAUCCGGCGGAUCUGCGAGCUUGACAACAGGAUGUACACCAACAAGGAAGUCAAUCGUUGGAGACACAUAAUGGAAUCUGAUUUCGCGAUGCUGGCACUAGCAGGUGAGGAUCCGACAACAAACAAAUCAAUUAGGCACCAGUUCCUGGGCGAACCGGUUAAGCAUGCUAUACAGGCUUGCGGGAUGAUCACCGUACCUGCCAUGGUUAGAACUUCAUGGUGCGUAUAUUUCUGGGACAUGAAGAUAAAGUGCGUCCACAUUGCCGAUCCUGCAUACAAAUCAAUCGAAGCAGCUUCCUUCCAACAGAUUCACAAACCAAACCUGAAGGUGCUGACGCAUGCACUGUCGAGGUGUGCUAAAAUGUUCUUUGAUGGUUGGUCUCCUGACUAGGAGUUAUGGGAAGCGAGAUACAUCACGCCACUGAAACCAGAUAUCCAGGAACACGAUUCAGGCAUAAGGACGCUUCAGGCGAUAUGCGACUUCAACGGCUCGACUUUCGUCACGGACAACCGCAUGGCUACGUCCAAGGAACUAAACCAGUGGGUGCUACAUGAAGUGCUUUGUCUCUCCGGCAAUUAUGCGAAGCUCCCUGGUCGCUUCGUGCAGACCAUUGACGACUAGCUCAAGAGACCAUUGUUACUUAUGGUUCCGAAAGACAAAUAGCUCAAUAGUUUCGUUCCGUCAUUCCGAAAGAGCGACCUUCUUUUGCUGCAGCUGAUAUGCACUUAU
Brachypodium distachyon (stiff brome) is the source of this 835-nucleotide long non-coding RNA. RefSeq lists it as uncharacterized. The record is from RefSeq and is a predicted model, not a curated record. The transcript has 5 exons. Lineage: Eukaryota; Viridiplantae; Streptophyta; Magnoliopsida; Poales; Poaceae.